RNAcentral lists this long non-coding RNA (1509 nucleotides) under Panax ginseng (ginseng). Its description in RNAcentral is "long non-coding RNA (PGIN_LNC010510)". Lineage: Eukaryota; Viridiplantae; Streptophyta; Magnoliopsida; Apiales; Araliaceae. The record is from RNAcentral.
AUUUUUGGCUGCACUCAACAUGUUAGAAAGGGUCUAAUGGGUCAACGAGCAAAUGUCCAAAAAUACCUUCGACGUUUAUCCCGAUAUCCCACUUACACUCUAACUAAUUUUUUUUUUCAAAAGUACCCUUAAGAUUACAAAUUUUAAAUCACCUUUGUCCCUCUCGUUAACAAACAUGCCACCUAGACAAACGGGUGUUAAUUUAUUUAUAAUGUAGCUGAUAUGUGGCAACAUUUGCAGACAUGUACAAAAAAUUAUAAUUAUCAAAUUGUACAUGAAAAAAAUUAUAGCUGCACUAAUUAAAAAUUAAUUAAUACUUUAAAGUUUAAACCAAAAAAAGUUUAUAUAUUACAUUACCCAAACACAAUACUGUAACCUAAAUUCAACCAAAAUUAAAUUCAUCAUCAACCUUCAAACUUUCAGAUCUAAAGAUGUAAUUAAAUGAAUCACAUGAUUGAGCUCGCAAGUCUCACUCUAAUGAAUAAACUUAAAAAAGUAGUGGAAAAAAAACCUAACUUGAUCUUAAAGCCAGAAACAACGAAUCAAACCCACUUUAAUCCAUCUUUUCUUUUAAUCUAUCAUUCAUCUCUUCAUAACUAGUUAGGGUUCUUAAACCCAGAAAAUAUGAAUGAAACCUACUUGAAUCAAUCUUUUCUUCCAAUCUAUCAUUCAUCUCUUCAUCACAAUCACAGUUAGAGUUCAGUAGUUACUAUUUACUAACCAUGAAAAUUGAUCCGAAAGAGGUGUAUUGUUUUUAUACAUUGAAGUUCCUUGCGUCUCCAAAUAUGUCGUCUGACAGCGAUGGCUACGAUCUUUGUUUGAACGAUCUCUAUCUCGGAUCUCAACUGGGUCAGUGUCGCGUAUUGAUUUUUUCAUAUCUACAAUACUGAUCAAUCAUCAUAUAUAUCCUUAAUAAACAAUAUAGUAAUUCGACUGAGCUACUAGAUAAAAGGAAAAUGCACAACCCCAAUUAUUCCAGGGCAACAAAAAUAUUAAUUCUCUAAACCCAAAUACAGAAACUUGACGAAAGUAUCAUUAUAUCAUAUAUAUUAAAUCGGAAAAAAAAACUCAUAAAUUUGAUCAAAUAGAAAGGGAAUAUAAUUUCAGUACCUCCAGGACCCAAUAAAUCGGAUUCAUAAAAAUUCAGACUGGAGGCAAAAAAACAUAAAAGAACGAAUAAUAAUUUUUAACAAAAACAAAGAAGGAAUAAAGUGAGUGGACUGACAACACCAUUGAAGAAGCUUAUAUCUUGGUCAGGUAGAAGAAAAGCAACAUAUUUCAAUUUGUUAGGCCAAGAAAAAGAAAAGCAGCAUAUUUCCUUUCACUUGCAGAGGCCUCAGUUUUUAGCUCCAUUACUGGAUCUGGAGAUCAAAGAUGAAGACGAUGAAUGUAGCGAGAAUUGCGAAGUUAAUGUGACGAGAGGGAGGGAUCUGAGAUUGCACAAUCGAUCUCUCCAUCGGAAAGCUAGAUCUCUUUCUCCUCUCUGAGGCGGCGAGUGUAAAUAUAGAU